GGCCAGUUAGUUCAGUUGGUUAGAGCAUGGUGCUAAUAACACCAAGGUUGUGGGUUCGAUCCCCUUACAGGCCA
Molecule: transfer RNA, 74 nt
Filed under: Tauraco erythrolophus (red-crested turaco)
Lineage: Eukaryota; Metazoa; Chordata; Aves; Musophagiformes; Musophagidae
Rfam family: tRNA
About the family: Transfer RNA (tRNA) molecules are approximately 80 nucleotides in length. Their secondary structure includes four short double-helical elements and three loops (D, anti-codon, and T loops).
Source: Rfam by way of RNAcentral